CUUGGUCAUUUAGAGGAAGUAAAAGUCGUAACAAGGUUUCCGUAGGUGAACCUGCGGAAGGAUCAUUACCUAGAGUUUGCGGGCUUUGCCUGCUAUCUCUUACCCAUGUCUUUUGAGUACUUACGUUUCCUCGGUGGGUUCGCCCGCCGAUUGGACAAUUUAAACCCUUUGCAGUUGCAAUCAGCGUCUGAAAAAAAUUAAUAAUUACAACUUUCAACAACGGAUCUCUUGGUUCUGGCAUCGAUGAAGAACGCAGCGAAAUGCGAUAAGUAGUGUGAAUUGCAGAAUUCAGUGAAUCAUCGAAUCUUUGAACGCACAUUGCGCCCCUUGGUAUUCCAUGGGGCAUGCCUGUUCGAGCGUCAUUUGUACCUUCAAGCUCUGCUUGGUGUUGGGUGUUUGUCUCGCCUUUGCGUGUAGACUCGCCUCAAAACAAUUGGCAGCCGGCGUAUUGAUUUCGGAGCGCAGUACAUCUCGCGCUUUGCACUCAUAACGACGACGUCCAAAAGUACAUUUUUACACUCUUGACCUCGGAUCAGGUAGGGAUACCCGCUGAACUUAAGCAUAUCAAUAAGCGGAGGAAAAGAAACCAACAGGGAUUGCCCCAGUAACGGCGAAUCCCGCGGCCA
This 626-nucleotide ribosomal RNA is filed under the name uncultured fungus. RNAcentral describes it as "eukaryotic LSU rRNA". The stretch from base 209 to 362 matches the Rfam family "5.8S ribosomal RNA". The record is from RNAcentral. Lineage: Eukaryota; Fungi.